GCCAGGUUGCAGAGGCACACUCUCAAAUCCGCCUUCAGUGAAACCACAGAAAUAUCCAAAUACUACACAUGGGGGCUUUUUUUCCCCUUCCCUGAGAAUCAGCUGGUAAUUUACUGGCAUGUCACUGCAUAUAAACAAAAUCCAAGAGGAAUCAGUUAACCUGCUGGACUGAACAAGGAGUUUGGCAUAAAACUGGCCAGAUAAACAGAUAAGGCUGAUUGUGUUAUGUCUCCCUUCCUUAAUGGAAGCCUGAUAGGAAUGAGGCCCACGGUGACUCAGCAGUUAGUUCCCUUUACUGCGUAGCCUUGGAAGUAAUGGAGUGGGCUUUCAUGAUUUUGCUUCUUUCUUCUUUUCCACUGAAAUGGAGGCCUUCAGUUGCAAAGUUCUCCAUUGUCAGAUUACGCUGCCUGAUGGGCAUGAAAAGUCCACAAAAGAGAAUUUUCUGAUGUGAGAAUGGAGGGUGUUGCCUGCAACUACCCCAGAUCCCUGCGGUGGCAGUUUAAGCCGCCUCCUGGAGCAGAUUGUUAAGCUGAUGCGAGUCUGGGCUCUGCCUCACCACUUGUCUCAGAGGAAUCUCGGCCAAGAAGACAGGGACAAGCUCCCAACUCUGACUACCCCUUUUACAGGGAAAAAAAAAAAAUCCCGUGCCUUCUUUGCAGCAAGUGACAAAUCCUUGUCAUAUCGAGA
Molecule: long non-coding RNA, 687 nt
Filed under: Homo sapiens (human)
Lineage: Eukaryota; Metazoa; Chordata; Mammalia; Primates; Hominidae
Description: non-protein coding LINC00426:18
Source: RNAcentral